UACGUAGGAGGCGAGCGUUGUCCGGAGUUACUGGGCGUAAAGGGUGCGCAGGCGGUGAAUCGGGUUGAAAGUGAAAGUCGCCAAAAAGUGGCGGAAUGCUCUCGAAACCAAUUCACUUGAGUGAGACAGAGGAGAGUGGAAUUUCGUGUGUAGGGGUGAAAUCCGUAGAUCUACGAAGGAACGCCAAAAGCGAAGGCAGCUCUCUGGGUCCCUACCGACGCUGGGGUGCGAAAGCAUGGGGAGCGAACAGG
This 251-nucleotide ribosomal RNA is filed under the name uncultured bacterium. Its description in RNAcentral is "partial 16S ribosomal RNA". It matches the Rfam family "Bacterial small subunit ribosomal RNA", at positions 524 to 776 of the family's 1533-position model. The record is from RNAcentral.